Maniola jurtina (meadow brown) is the source of this 160-nucleotide long non-coding RNA. RefSeq lists it as uncharacterized. The transcript is spliced from 3 exons. Lineage: Eukaryota; Metazoa; Arthropoda; Insecta; Lepidoptera; Nymphalidae. The record is from RefSeq and is a predicted model, not a curated record.
GCCUGUCGUCAUGUGUACACGUAAUGCCACCAACAGAAGUCACUGGAGGGAGAUAACGCGAGCAGCAGUAAAGAAUUCAUAGCCACGACCAUCUAUCAAGAGUGAACGAUUGAGAAAAAGAAAAUUCGUUCCACGUAUUUUACAAGAUCCUGGUGAACAA